This 87-nucleotide signal recognition particle RNA is filed under the name Solobacterium sp. Its description in RNAcentral is "signal recognition particle sRNA small type". It matches the Rfam family "Bacterial small signal recognition particle RNA". Rfam says of the family: The signal recognition particle (SRP) is a universally conserved ribonucleoprotein involved in the co-translational targeting of proteins to membranes. Lineage: Bacteria; Bacillati; Bacillota; Erysipelotrichia; Erysipelotrichales; Erysipelotrichaceae. The record is from RNAcentral.
GUCUUGGUACAGCAGCCAUGUAUAUAACCUGGUCAGGUCCGGAAGGAAGCAGCCAUACAAACCUCUGACUGCGUGUACCAUUUAUUU